UUCUGGUCCAUUUUAAAGCUGGUGAAUCAGGU
This 32-nucleotide non-coding RNA is filed under the name Mus musculus (house mouse). Lineage: Eukaryota; Metazoa; Chordata; Mammalia; Rodentia; Muridae. The record is from RNAcentral.